GCCAGUGUAGUGUAGUGGUUUGAGAGUUAGACUAGGACUCUGGGGAACAGGGUUCAAAUCCCGGCUCAGCCA
Phrynosoma platyrhinos (Desert horned lizard) is the source of this 72-nucleotide non-coding RNA. The record is from the annotation of a GenBank genome assembly. Lineage: Eukaryota; Metazoa; Chordata; Lepidosauria; Squamata; Phrynosomatidae.